AUGUUACCAGAUGGUAGCAGUUCAGAGGCAACACCGCCGGAGAGCAGUCUGAGCAGAGAUAUUAUAGUUCUUGAUGCUCUACUAGAGGUAGAAAGAGAUGGUGUGGCUGCCAUGAAUGAGGUAAUCUCGAUCUUGAAGCUGGAAAUCAUGCAAUUAGCUGCACGCAUUAUGCAAGCAACCCAAGAAUUGGAGGAAGUAAGAAUGUUGCAUUUGAAGACGGAGGAGGUCCUGCUGCUUCUGCUAUCUGAAGCCCAGGGUAAUCCCAGUUCUUCUUUAGAUACCAGUUGA
This 288-nucleotide ribosomal RNA is filed under the name Triticum aestivum (bread wheat). Its description in RNAcentral is "partial small subunit ribosomal RNA". The record is from RNAcentral. Lineage: Eukaryota; Viridiplantae; Streptophyta; Magnoliopsida; Poales; Poaceae.